Bemisia tabaci is the source of this 885-nucleotide non-coding RNA. Lineage: Eukaryota; Metazoa; Arthropoda; Insecta; Hemiptera; Aleyrodidae. The record is from RefSeq and is a predicted model, not a curated record.
GACUAAGUUAUCCGAUUUUAUCAGACAUACCAUUAUGAUCUCAAAUUAAUAUCAAUGUGCAAGAUAGAUAGUUCGUUUUUCUGUUCCUGUUGUUAUCUGGUUUCAGGUAACCUACUAUCGACUAACAGCAAAAAAUAAUGGAACUAAACCGAGCCUAUCCAUAUCCUCUGCUGUCCCGUCUGUCAUAUAUUCUCCUGUCCAUCUUGUGUUGUCCUGCAUAUCCUACAUCCUAUGAAUGAAAUCUUGUAUGAAACCCUGACUGAAUGUUCAUCGCCUACUCUACGGUAUUCUAACCGCCACCACUCUCCGUUGAUGUACAAAUUAACAGGAAUAUGAGAGACGACGAUGAAAAGAAACGCAAAAGAAGAAAAUAAUAAAAAAGAAGGAGAAGGCAUUCAAGUUUAUUUUCCUGUAUCUCUAAACCGUCUAGAAUAACGAGCAACAACUUUGUUUCGCCGGGAAUGAUUAUUCAAGAAGAAUAAAUAAUCAUCACCUGUGAUCGCUUAGGUGCCCAAAUCAAAUGAUUAGAGUAUAAUUCAAUUAAAUGCUGCUCUCUUUGAGCGAUUCUUCCUGCACUCUAGAACACAAACAUUUAAAGUCAGAAAAAAAUCAUUAUGGAAGAAAACAACAUCUUGGCUGAGGCACUUGAUGACGUCAUUCUUCAAAGUACCAACUUGUUCGAAAGAGCCCAAAUGGCGGAAGCAGCUCUUGACUGAGUUGGAGAUAAUAUUAACAGCGUACAAGAUACAUGUCGACCGUAGAAGACAUCGUUGGUUCGUUGGUUAUAAGGAACAGAAGCAAGCUUUCCUCAACUUCAAACAAUCUCUUGCUAAACGUGAGACAGAACAAGAUCCGAGAAAGAAUAAUGAAGCAUGAAGUCUAAAA